Molecule: ribosomal RNA, 401 nt
Filed under: uncultured Glomus
Lineage: Eukaryota; Fungi; Glomeromycota; Glomeromycetes; Glomerales; Glomeraceae
Description: SSU rRNA
Rfam family: Eukaryotic small subunit ribosomal RNA
Source: RNAcentral
AGCAGCCGCGGUAAUUCCAGCUCCAAUAGCGUAUAUUAAAGUUGUUGCAGUUAAAAAGCUCGUAGUUGAAUUUCGGGGUCAGUAGGUUGGUCGUGCCACUGGUAUGCACUGGUCUCACUGAUUCCUCCUUCCUGAUGAACCGUAAUGCCAUUAAUUUGGUGUUGCGAGGAAUCUGGACUUGUUAACUUUGAAAAAAUUAGAGUGUUUAAAGCAGGCUAACGCUUGAAUACAUUAGCAUGGAAUAAUGAAAUAGGACGAUCGAUUCCUAUUUUGUUGGUUUCUAGGAUUGACGUAAUGAUUAAUAGGGAUAGUUGGGGGCAUUAGUAUUCAAUUGUCAGAGGUGAAAUUCUUGGAUUUAUUGAAGACUAACUACUGCGAAAGCAUUUGCCAAGGUAUGUUUU